This 498-nucleotide ribosomal RNA is filed under the name uncultured bacterium. RNAcentral's name for it is "partial 16S ribosomal RNA". It matches the Rfam family "Bacterial small subunit ribosomal RNA", at positions 29 to 523 of the family's 1533-position model. The record is from RNAcentral.
AUUGAACGCUGGCGGCAUGCCUCACACAUGCAAGUCGAACGGUAACGGGCCUUCGGGUGCCGACGAGUGGCGAACGGGGGAGUAAUGCAUCGGAACGUACCCAUCAGUGGGGGAUAACUCUCCGAAAGGAGGGCUAAUACCGCAUAUUCUGUGCGCAGGAAAGCGGGGGACCGCAAGGCCUCGCGCUGAGGGAGCGGCCGAUGUCAGAUUAGCUAGUUGGUGGGGUAAAGGCCUACCAAGGCGACGAUCUGUAGCGGGUCUGAGAGGAUGAUCCGCCACACUGGGACUGAGACACGGCCCAGACUCCUACGGGAGGCAGCAGUGGGGAAUUUUGGACAAUGGGGGCAACCCUGAUCCAGCCAUGCCGCGUGAGUGAAGAAGGCCUUCGGGUUGUAAAGCUCUUUCGGCCGGGAAGAAAUCGCAUCUCCUAAUACGGGGUGUGGAUGACGGUACCGGAAUAAGAAGCACCGGCUAACUGCGUGCCAGCCGCCGCGGUAA